This 232-nucleotide ribosomal RNA is filed under the name uncultured bacterium. Its description in RNAcentral is "partial 16S ribosomal RNA". It matches the Rfam family "Bacterial small subunit ribosomal RNA", at positions 30 to 271 of the family's 1533-position model. The record is from RNAcentral.
UUGAACGCUGGCGGCAUGCCUUACACAUGCAAGUCGAACGGUAGAGGGGCAACCCUUGAGAGUGGCGAACGGGUGAGUAAUAUAUCGGAACGUGCCCAGUCGUGGGGGAUAACGCAGCGAAAGCUGCGCUAAUACCGCAUACGAUCUAUGGAUGAAAGCGGGGGAUCGCAAGACCUCGCGCGAUUGGAGCGGCCGAUAUCAGAUUAGGUAGUUGGUGGGGUAAAAGCCCCGA